Molecule: long non-coding RNA, 1866 nt
Organism: Marmota monax (woodchuck)
Lineage: Eukaryota; Metazoa; Chordata; Mammalia; Rodentia; Sciuridae
Exons: 2
Source: RefSeq, a predicted model, not a curated record
GGCCCUGAAGGAGAGAGCACCUGAGAGUUAGGGUCAGGGAUCCAGGACAGUAGUACAAGGACACGAAACAGAGGCAGGAUAGAGCAGGGACAGACCUGGCCCUGGCCCGCGUGUCGUUGUAGAUGGCUGUGAUGAUCCGAUCCUUCUCAUCCAUGAAGCUCCGGUGUAUCUGCUCCAACUUCCUGCAAGACCUUUGGUGUUAACCCUGAUACUCCAGUUCCUGCAGUUCCUGAAGCCCUCCUCCACCCUGUUCCACGGUCUCUCUCUGUUUUACGUCUGUGGAAACCUUGCCCCAACAGUGCCUGUGACAGGUGGGGAGAGGGGCACAGAGUGGCAGAGGCCCAUCCAGGAUGCAAUGGAACCCAAGUCUCUGUCCUGCUGAAAGUGGUGAAGCAGCUCUGAACACAGGGAUGCUCUUCCCAGGAUCCUAGAAAGAUUCCCAAGCCGGGCAUGGUGGCACAUGCCUGCCAUCCCAGUUAGAAACACUGAGGCAAGAGGAUCACUGGAGCCCAGGAGUUAAAGGCCAGUCUGAGCAACAUAGGACGACCCCCUCUCAAAAACGACAAAGGUGCUUCUGAAGACCCAUCUCAUUCCUCCAGGAUGGAACCUCCAAAACAGGGCCCAGGAAUCUGCAUCUUUGUAACCAACUUCCCCACCUCUGUGAGUUAUGCUUGACUACCAGUGGAGUUAUGGGAAGAGUAUUGGGGUUUUGUUGGGCUCAAAUUUCUGAUCUCCCAUUUAACUCGCUGAUGACCUUGAGGCUCAUCUCAGUCUCAGAUGAGAUUCUCAAUGUCCUCAACCUGAAAGUGAGGGUUAAGACAAGACUGCAAGGUAUCUAUCUCAGCAAGCAAAGAAGCGCCUAAGCUGGGCAGGCCCUCAACAGAAACCCGCUGAACAACCGAGGGCCCCAGGAGCCCAACUCACCGCUGCCCAGAGGCCGCUGCGAGGAGCCGGGUGGGAGGGCUGCGGGGCCACAGCCGGCACAGGCGCAGGGGCAACAGGGGCAGCAUGGCGGCGGGUGGACAGCUGGGGAAAGGAGCCCACCAAGAGGGGUGCAUUGAGACCAGAUCCGAUCAGAUAUCAAACUCUUCGCGGCUCGGGCAGAGCGAAGGAGCCUGGCCAGGGGUUUCUUGCAAAAGAAGAUCGAGGCAGGCCCGGGGGCGGCCUCCUACCUCAGGGUCAGUCCCCCAUGUCUGGACCCGGCCCUGCCUCCAGGUCUUUCCAGGCUCUGGCUUACAGGUCUGGACCCCCGGAACCACCCAGAGUGAUUGAAGGAAAUUGAGGGAGGAACCACAACCAAGUCCCGCCCUCACUCCACUUACGAACUCCGCAGUCGCCGCCAUUUCCUGCGCCUCCGCGGGUCCCGCCCCCGAGCUCUCAUUGGCUUAGACUCAGACCACGCCCACUUUACCGGAAGGUGCGAGUGUGUGGCUAAACCCCGCCCCCGGCCCCUCGACCGGCUUUCUGCAGCCCGAGCCGCUUAGCGGAGGUCCCCGGAGCUGCCGAAAUGCGCGGGCCCCCAGUCCCGGGCGGCAGGAGGGGCUGAGCCCGACCCUCAACGAGCCUUUUGGCCCAGCCGCAGCCCUUCGGUGCCGCGGAGACGGCUUUGGUCUGCUCAGCAGCGAGGCACGUUUCACAGAGCUGCUUCCACCCCGCGUUGUCUUGGCAUGGGAGGCACAUCUCUCAUCCCCCCUUGCAGGGGGAGAAAACUGAGGCCGAGCUGAUGUGUUUUUGUGUUUGUUUUUCUUUUUUUCCUUUUCUAUGACGCGUUCGGUCUCACCCACCCAGGGCUCUCCCAGCGAACCCUCUGUCAUGGAAACAGCGAAUGCCAAUGGAAUCCAAGAAUAAAGUUCUUUAUUGUCUUCA